AUAUCAAUAAGCGGAGGAAAAGAAAACAAAUGUGAUUCCCCUAGUAGCUGCGAGCGAAAAGGGAUCAGCUCAAAACCGAAUCUGGCCGCCCUAGCGGCGGUCCGAAAUGUGGUUUAAGGACUUGGCUCGGGUAGGUUGCAGCGGUCUAAGUCACCUGGAACGGUGUGCCAUAGAGGGUGAUAGCCCCGUGAGACCGUUGUCGGCCGGCCCGCAUGAGCUUAGCUCCAAGAGUCGCACUGUUUGAGAGUACAGUGCUAAGACGGGAGGUGAGUAUCUCCUAAAGCUAAAUAUUUGUCUGAGUCCGAUAGCGCACAAGUACCGUGAGGGAAAGUUGCAAAGAACUUUGAAAGGAGAGUUAAAAGAACCUGAAAUCGCUAACGGGGAAGGGCUCGGGCAAAUCGCGGCCUCUUGAAUUCCCUCUGUUAAGUCUGUUCAAACCGGAUGGUAGAGCCACUCUUUUGUGGCCGUCUGACUGGGGCGCACGGGUAGUAUGGAGCUACUUUUCUAAGCCGGGUGGGUUUUACGAGAAGCGGCUGAUUGGGGCGUGAGCGGGGUAUUCAUGGAUUGGUUAAUUUCGGUUUGUGGAACGAAAGCUGGCGUUUUCCGGCUGCCC
This 613-nucleotide ribosomal RNA is filed under the name uncultured fungus. Its description in RNAcentral is "eukaryotic LSU rRNA". It matches the Rfam family "Eukaryotic large subunit ribosomal RNA", at positions 40 to 627 of the family's 3401-position model. Lineage: Eukaryota; Fungi. The record is from RNAcentral.